UAGAGUUUGAUCCUGGCUCAGGAGGGGCGCUGGCGGCGCGCCUAACACAUGCAAGUCGAACGGAGCUUAGAGAGCUUGCUUUUUAAGCUUAGUGGCGAACGGGUGAGUAACGCGUGAGUAACCUGCCCUAGAGUGGGGGACAACAGUUGGAAACGACUGCUAAUACCGCAUAAGCCCACGGUACCGCAUGGUACUGAGGGAAAAGGAUUUAUUCGCUUUAGGAUGGACUCGCGUCCAAUUAGCUAGUUGGUGAGGUAACGGCCCACCAGGCGACGAUUGGUAGCCGGACUGAGAGGUUGAACGGCCACAUUGGGACUGAGACACGGCCCAGACUCCUACGGGAGGCAGCAGUGGGGGAUAUUGCACAAUGGGGGAAACCCUGAUGCAGCGACGCCGCGUGGAGGAAGAAGGUUUUCGGAUUGUAAACUCCUGUCGUUAGGGACGAUAAUGACGGUACCUAACAAGAAAGCACCGGCUAACUACGUGCCAGCAGCCGCGGUAAAACGUAGGGUGCAAGCGUUGUCCGGAAUUACUGGGUGUAAAGGGAGCGCAGGCGGGAAGACAAGUUGGAAGUGAAAACCAUGGGCUCAACCCAUGAAUUGCUUUCAAAACUGUUUUUCUUGAGUAGUGCAGAGGUAGAUGGAAUUCCCGGUGUAGCGGUGGAAUGCGUAGAUAUCGGGAGGAACACCAGAGGCGAAGGCGGUCUACUGGGCACCAACUGACGCUGAGGCUCGAAAGCAUGGGUAGCAAACAGGAUUAGAUACCCUGGUAGUCCAUGCCGUAAACGAUGAUUACUAGGUGUUGGGGGAUUGACCCCCCUCAGUGCCGCAGUUAACACAAUAAGUAAUCCACCUGGGGAGUACGACCGCAAGGUUGAAACUCAAAGGAAUUGACGGGGGCCCGCACAAGCAGUGGAGUAUGUGGUUUAAUUCGAAGCAACGCGAAGAACCUUACCAGGUCUUGACAUCCGAUGCAUAGCACAGAGAUGUGUGAAAUCCUUCGGGACAUCGAGACAGGUGGUGCAUGGUUGUCGUCAGCUCGUGUCGUGAGAUGUUGGGUUAAGUCCCGCAACGAGCGCAACCCUUAUUGCCAGUUACUACGUUAAGAGGACUCUGGCGAGACUGCCGUUGACAAAACGGAGGAAGGUGGGGAUGACGUCAAAUCAUCAUGCCCUUUAUGACCUGGGCUAUGCACGUACUACAAUGGCGUUAAACAAAGAGAAGCAAGACCGCGAGGUGGAGCAAAACUCAAAAACAACGUCUCAGUUCAGAUUGCAGGCUGCAACUCGCCUGCAUGAAGUCGGAAUUGCUAGUAAUCGCGGAUCAGCAUGCCGCGGUGAAUACGUUCCCGGGCCUUGCACUCAGGGCCCGUC
RNAcentral lists this ribosomal RNA (1372 nucleotides) under uncultured bacterium. Its description in RNAcentral is "bacterial SSU rRNA". It matches the Rfam family "Bacterial small subunit ribosomal RNA". The record is from RNAcentral.